AUGCCAGGAGUGCUACCAAACAACUCUUCUCGAGUACUCAAAGCGUUUCGAGUAAUCAUGAACUGCAGAUAUAGAGUUCCGGGCGAUGUUGCAGCGGGAGCUCGUCAGGAAGUGCAGAGGCUCAAGCCCUCUGCAUCUCAACUGCAGGCAGCCAUGCAGGAGCUGCAGAGCAGCGGGUUGCACUCGGACGACGCCGGGAUCGGGGCUGCGGAAGCCAGGAAGACCGACCUCAUGGCUAAGAAGGCCAAGCUGGACGAGACCCUGGCUGCAACCCGCCAGUUCAGAGCACUGCUUCGGUAG
This 300-nucleotide ribosomal RNA is filed under the name Triticum aestivum (bread wheat). Its description in RNAcentral is "partial small subunit ribosomal RNA". The record is from RNAcentral. Lineage: Eukaryota; Viridiplantae; Streptophyta; Magnoliopsida; Poales; Poaceae.